Molecule: long non-coding RNA, 222 nt
Filed under: Amborella trichopoda
Lineage: Eukaryota; Viridiplantae; Streptophyta; Magnoliopsida; Amborellales; Amborellaceae
Description: long non-coding RNA (ATRI_LNC002929)
Source: RNAcentral
CCCAACCUUAUAAAUUACAUUGAAACCACCCCAACCUUAUGGUCCUUAUCUUCAUAAUUGCCCAUCUAAUCAGCAUUUCCAACAUCUCCAAUGUCGAACGGGUGGAAAAUUCAACCUAAUAUAAAAAACAAAAAACGCUUGUCCAGUACUCAAAAAUCGCUUGUCCAAUACUACCAAUGACAACCGAUACCGAUCAGCUUCCUAAGCUGUCUAGGAUUAGAA